This 253-nucleotide ribosomal RNA is filed under the name uncultured bacterium. RNAcentral describes it as "partial 16S ribosomal RNA". It matches the Rfam family "Bacterial small subunit ribosomal RNA", at positions 524 to 776 of the family's 1533-position model. The record is from RNAcentral.
UACGGAGGGUGCAAACGUUGCUCGGAAUCAUUGGGCGUAAAGCGCACGUAGGCGGCCGAUUAAGUCGGGUGUGAAAGCCCUGGGCUCAACCCAGGAAGUGCACUCGAAACUGACCGGCUUGAAUAUGGAAGAGGGUUGCGGAAUUCCUGGUGUAGCGGUGGAAUGCGCAGAUAUCAGGAGGAACACCAAUAGCGAAGGCAGCUCGCUGGGACGUUACUGACACUGAGGCGCGAAAGCGUGGGGAGCGAACAGG